UUAAAAAUAUUUGAUAUAAAAAAUAUAUCAAAACAUUUGUUUUGUUAAUUACAGGUGGAAAACGUAAAAAUAUCAACUUUUUCCAAAAUAAUAAUCUAUUAGUAACAUAUGAGUAUUUAACUAUUUAUAAUUUUCUUUACUGUUUAGUUUUGUAUUGAGAUAUGAAGAAAUGGUAUGGAGAACCAAAGAUCGACCGAGAUGACAGGGCUAAGAUAUGAGUCUUGAAAAAAUAUUUUUCAUUCUUAUGUUUUGCUUGGUUUUUUCUUAUUAUUUGCUUGGGACGAGUUGGAAGAUAGAAGCUGAGACUGUCUCAACUCAGGGACGUUUUUCCUUGCGGCGCUCAAGACAAAAGCAGACGCAGCUCCAACCAAAACAAGAAAGAAGAAUGAGGCGAUCACACACAUGAAAAUAUAAAUGGUAGAGUGAGACUCGGACUCAUAUUGUGGAAAAUCAGGUUUAGUGAUGUUGAACAUUGUGGUGGUGAGUGUUUAAGUUGUUCUUCAGUAAACGCAUUUCAAUCAUCUAUAUAGAAUAGAGAAGUUACUUAUUAAUCAAAAAGCUGCAGAUGUUAGUUCGACAAAAUAUCAAUUUUACUAAGAGAAGAAUGAGAAACAUUGGAGGUUGAAAAAGUUAUUAUGGUAUUUAGAGGAAAUUUGUGUUGAGCAUAGCACAUUCCCUGCAAAAGUGAAAGGAAAAGGCGUAAAAUUUUUGUUGUCUUGAGUUAGUACAAGAAUGGUGGUCGGAUUUACAAUUUUUUACUAAAUAAAUACUUUGUAUUUUUUUGGGAUUGAGGUUAUUGUUUGAUGGCUAAGAAAAAUCGAAGCUUUAAAAUUGGGUUAAGUGAAAGUGUUUUCAUUACUUAGAGCUAUAGCUUCUUUUGGUUGAUGAUAACAAUGGAGCAGCUUGUUUACUACUUUUAUAAAACAUAAAACAUACAUUUGUUCAUUCUUAUUUUUUGGUUUUUUCCCCAGAUUAUUUGCUUAUUU
Molecule: small RNA, 986 nt
Filed under: Arabidopsis thaliana (thale cress)
Lineage: Eukaryota; Viridiplantae; Streptophyta; Magnoliopsida; Brassicales; Brassicaceae
Description: ATSL091870
Source: RNAcentral